CAGGCUAUUCGGCAAGACACUGCUGCCAUGGCAGGGAACAAACAAAAAGAAAGACAAAAUAUUGAGCAAACAGAUUUUCAGUCUAACAAUAAUAUUGGCGACGCGAAAAAUGUUUACUUAUUAGAGGACAAAAUUAUACCACCUAUGUCAGAGGUGAUAGCACUGGCAAAAAUUACAGGUAUUCGACAAAAAAAUCUAAUAGGAAUAAUAGAAUCCGAAUCUCUUAGUAUACCAGGUUUAACCACUAUGGAUGUAUUGGUUAGGACAAAAUCACGUGGCAAAGUACCCGUUAGAAUAAUGAACGUCACAAC
RNAcentral lists this long non-coding RNA (311 nucleotides) under Androctonus crassicauda. Lineage: Eukaryota; Metazoa; Arthropoda; Arachnida; Scorpiones; Buthidae. The record is from RNAcentral.